Molecule: long non-coding RNA, 1173 nt
Organism: Nyctereutes procyonoides (raccoon dog)
Lineage: Eukaryota; Metazoa; Chordata; Mammalia; Carnivora; Canidae
Exons: 2
Source: RefSeq, a predicted model, not a curated record
GGCCCUGAAGAGCCCCGGGGUCAGCCUCCUGCGGCCGGCAGCGGAGGCACUUAACCCUACCUCACAGCUCAGCCAAGGCCCGCUCCCCACACGAGCCCGUGGAGACAAUCCAGCAGGCUGAGUGCCGGAGGCCUUCGUCACUGCUGAACGUCAAAAAGGGUCAUUUUGAUGACAGGACGCUGACCUCACCCGUGGGGGGUGAGCUUCACACGCCGGAGGAUGUUGUUCUCAAACCCGUGGAGGUCACAGAGGCCGAGUUUUCUCUCUUAAAACUCUCACCUCGCGAAUACGCCCUUCCCAGGCCCUGAUCUCCGGGCCCACGGAUAACCCCCCACACACACACUGGGCUGUGUUCACCUCAGAUUUGAAACGUUGGCUCUAGAGCGUUUCCUAGACCACUGCACGUGACCAGUCUAAAUAGCCAGAGAUAACGUGGACCCGCGUGAGGUAACCGUGCAGAAGGGGUGAAAAGCAAGCAAAAGCUUUGGUGGUGGUUUACCUCUGUGACUUGCUUCUGCAAACAUUUUUCACGGGAUAUUUUUCUAUUCUGUUUAGUUACAUCCGAGUUUUAAAAUAAUGCAUCCGUGAGUGUCUGUCAUUGCUUUAAGGCGCUACAUGGAAACUUUGACGAAGCAAGCAGAUUCUAAGGAAGUGAAAUCAGAAAAGCACCAGAGAAGAUGACAAAGGAAAUAAACUAGUCAAAGGAAUGCUAAAAGGUCUAAUUCAACAAAUAAGUAAAACCACAUUUAUUCAAAGGAAUAAAUGAAAGCUGCAAGAAAUAGUUGCUAUGAGAGCUCACAAUAGGGUCAUUCACUGACCUGGUCAGUGAUUUCUCACUGAGAGAAAUCUCCCUGAAGGAGGUCCUACUGGAAUGGAAACCUGAAAAAUGAGAUACUGAAAAAAGGAGAAAUGGAAACCGGGAACAUCAUGCGUAAAGACCUUUUGUCAGAGGGGAACACUGCAAGCCUGAGGAACAGAGGACCAAUGUGGCUAGAACGUAGACCAUACAGAGUUCACAGUACGCUGGAGACCAGACAUUGUUGGCCAUACUGAGAACCUGUAUCUUCUUGAGAAGCAGAGAGGGGAUUUAAUGAUCAUAUCUGUGUUUUGAAAAGUUCAUUCCAACUGGAGUGUGAGAAUAUGAAUAGAGCCAAUUAGGGUCCCCCGGUGGUA